Molecule: long non-coding RNA, 471 nt
Filed under: Capsicum annuum
Lineage: Eukaryota; Viridiplantae; Streptophyta; Magnoliopsida; Solanales; Solanaceae
Description: long non-coding RNA (CANN_LNC002666)
Source: RNAcentral
CGAGAGCCAUACUUGUUGGCUAAAAGCUCAGGGCUAUAAAAAAAAAAGCAUCCGCAGCACGUGUCAUAGCUCUAGCUUCAGAUUGCAUAUUGUCGGCUCGAUCUCUGUUAUAUGGACCAACUUGAAGGGUUCAACCUGUAACAUUACUACUAUUGUUCCCACCGGCUACAUCUCUGAUUGUUGUUGCUAUUGUUGAGGCCUCGCCUCCACUAGAGUCAUUCGAGCUGUAACAGUUAGUCUUAACUCUCCGUCCGUCGAAGCUUUUCCCCCUGUAGGUCAAACCGAAUCGACGCGGGAAGUCAACAUAAUAUAAUGAUUUGCCACAAAAGAACAACUCAUCCUCACAGACUCCCCAACUAAACUAAUUAAUUUUAUGAAAAAGGUUGCUCUACCUAAGUAGUGUGCAAAUGAAAUAAGAGCAGGCUUGCAUGAUACCUUAGAAGUUCCCUGUAACACCCAUAUCCAACAAAG